GUUUUUUUUUUUUUUUUUGGUUUAAGCCCUUUUCUUUUUCCUUCUUUUGUUUUUGGUUGUAAUCCCCUAAGCAUUUGUCUCUCAAAUUAAGUGUAUAUGCAAUUUGUAUAAAUUGAGGAUAUCUAUGUGUCUUUGCGAAGGAUUUUUUUUUUUUUUCGGUUUAACCAUUUUUGUAAAAUAUGUUCAUUGCAAUAAUUGGUGUCUUCUCUUUUGUUGUGUGGAAUGCUGGUUGUAUCUUUAAAACCAACUUA
This 251-nucleotide unclassified non-coding RNA is filed under the name Hevea brasiliensis (rubber tree). The record is from RNAcentral. Lineage: Eukaryota; Viridiplantae; Streptophyta; Magnoliopsida; Malpighiales; Euphorbiaceae.